CUACCCCUACCCCCAAACCUAAUCCCAACCCUACCCCUAACCCUACCACACCAGAGGGGUAGAGUUAGGGGUAGGGUUGGGGUUAGGUUUGGGGGUAGAGUGGGGUUG
Pelobates cultripes (western spadefoot toad) is the source of this 108-nucleotide non-coding RNA. The record is from the annotation of a GenBank genome assembly. Lineage: Eukaryota; Metazoa; Chordata; Amphibia; Anura; Pelobatidae.